RNAcentral lists this ribosomal RNA (292 nucleotides) under uncultured bacterium. Its description in RNAcentral is "partial 16S ribosomal RNA". It matches the Rfam family "Bacterial small subunit ribosomal RNA", at positions 505 to 796 of the family's 1533-position model. The record is from RNAcentral.
GUGCCAGCCGCCGCGGUAAAACGUAGGAUCCGAGCGUUAUCCGAAUUCACUGGGCGUAAAGCGCGUGUAGGCGGUUCGGUAAGUUGGAUGUGAAAUCUCCUGGCUCAACUGGGAGGGGACGUUCAAUACUGUCGGACUAGAGGACGGCAGAGGAAGGUGGAAUUCCCGGUGUAGUGGUGAAAUGCGUAGAUAUCGGGAGGAACACCAGUGGCGAAGGCGGCCUUCUGGGCCGUUUCUGACGCUCAGACGCGAAAGCUAGGGGAGCAAACGGGAUUAGAUACCCCCGUAGUCC